UAAUACCGUAUAACAAUCGAAACCGCAUGGUUUUGAUUUGAAAGGCGCUUUCGGGUGUCGCUGAUGGAUGGACCCGCGGUGCAUUAGCUAGUUGGUGAGGUAACGGCUCACCAAGGCGACGAUGCAUAGCCGACCUGAGAGGGUGAUCGGCCACAUUGGGACUGAGACACGGCCCAAACUCCUACGGGAGGCAGCAGUAGGGAAUCUUCGGCAAUGGACGAAAGUCUGACCGAGCAACGCCGCGUGAGUGAAGAAGGUUUUCGGAUCGUAAAACUCUGUUGUUAGAGAAGAACAAGGAUGAGAGUAACUGUUCAUCCCUUGACGGUAUCUAACCAGAAAGCCACGGCUAACUACGUGCCAGCAGCCGCGGUAAUACGUAGGUGGCAAGCGUUGUCCGGAUUUAUUGGGCGUAAAGCGAGCGCAGGCGGUUUCUUAAGUCUGAUGUGAAAGCCCCCGGCUCAACCGGGGAGGGUCAUUGGAAACUGGGAGACUUGAGUGCAGAA
RNAcentral lists this ribosomal RNA (503 nucleotides) under uncultured bacterium. RNAcentral's name for it is "bacterial SSU rRNA". It matches the Rfam family "Bacterial small subunit ribosomal RNA", at positions 164 to 653 of the family's 1533-position model. The record is from RNAcentral.